Molecule: ribosomal RNA, 492 nt
Filed under: uncultured bacterium
Lineage: Bacteria
Description: partial 16S ribosomal RNA
Rfam family: Bacterial small subunit ribosomal RNA
Source: RNAcentral
AGUGAACGCUGGCGGCAGGCCUAACACAUGCAAGUCGAACGGCAGCACAGUAAGAGCUUGCUCUUACGGGUGGCGAGUGGCGGAAGGGUGAGGAAUACAUCGGAAUCCACUUAUACGUGGGGGAUAACGUAGGGAAACUUACGCUAACACAGCAUACGACGGACGGGGGAAAGCAGGGGAUCUUCGGGCUUUUCGCGAGGGAAUGAGCCGAUGUCGGCUUAGCUAGUUGGCGGGGUAAAGGCCCACCAAGGCGACGCUCCGUAGCUGCUCUGAGAGCAUGGUCCGCCACACUGGAACUGAGACACGGUCCAGACUCCUACGGUAGGCCGCAGUGGGGAAUAUUGCGCAAAGGGCGCAAGCCUGAUCCAGCCCUACCGCGUGAGUGAAGAAGGCCUUCGGGUUCUAAAGCCCUUUUGUUGGGAAAGAAGAACAGCAGGUUUAUACCCCGCUGUUCUGACGGUACCUAAAGAAUAAGCACCGGCUAACUUCGUG